UGGUGGGUAGGGGAGCGUCGUGUGUUGGGUGAAGCAGCCGUGGAAACGUGUUGUGGACGGCAUGCGAGUGAGAAUGCAGGCAUGAGUAGCGUUACACACGUGAGAAACGUGUGCGCCGAUUGACUAAGGGUUCCUGGGUCAAGCUGAUCUGCCCAGGGUAAGUCGGGACCUAAGGCGAGGCCGACAGGCGUAGUCGAUGGACAACCGGUUGAUAUUCCGGUACCCGCCGUGAAGCGCCAACGCUGAAUCUUCUGAUGCUAAGCCCGUGAAGCCGCCUGCUGAGUCUUCGGACGAGGUGGGAGUGGUGGAGCCGGUGACCCGAGGGGGUAGUAGGUGAGUGAUGGGGUGACGCAGGAAGGUAGUCCAGCCCGGGUGGUGGUUAUCCCGGGGUAAGGGUGUGGCCCGAAGGGUAGGUAAAUCCGUCCUUCAUUGUGGGUGAGACCUGAUGCCGAGCCGAUUGUGGUGAAGUGGAUGAUCCUAUGCUGUCGAGAAAAGCCUCUAGCGAUGUUUCAUGGUGGCCCGUACCCUAAACCGACUCUGGUGGUCAGGUAGAGUAUACCGAGGCGUUCGGGUGAACUAUGGUUAAGGAACUCGGCAAAUUGCCCCCGUAACUUCGGGAGAAGGGGGGCCGCUUCUGGUGAUGGCAUUUACUGUCGGAGCUGGGGGUGGCCGCAGAGACCAGCGAGAAGCGACUGUUUACUAAAAACACAGGUCCGUGCGAAGCUGUAAGGCGAUGUAUACGGACUGACGCCUGCCCGGUGCUGGAACGUUAAGGGGACCGGUUAGCUCUUUUGGGGGCGAAGCUGGGAACUUAAGCGCCAGUAAACGGCGGUGGUAACUAUAACCAUCCUAAGGUAGCGAAAUUCCUUGUCGGGUAAGUUCCGACCUGCACGAAUGGCGUAACGACUUCUCGGCUGUCUCAACCAUAGGCCCGGUGAAAUUGCAUUACGAGUAAAGAUGCUCGUUUCGCGCAGCAGGACGGAAAGACCCCGGGACCUUUACUAUAGCUUGAUAUUGGUGUUCGGUUCGGUUUGUGUAGGAUAGGUGGGAGACUGUGAAGCCCUCACGCCAGUGUGGGUGGAGUCGUUGUUGAAAUACCACUCUGAUCGUGCUGGAUGUCUAACCUGGGUCCGUGAUCCGGAUCGGGGACAGUGUCUGGUGGGUAGUUUAACUGGGGCGGUUGCCUCCUAAAGGGUAACGGAGGCGCCCAAAGGUUCCCUCAGCCUGGUUGGUUAUCAGGUGGUGAGUGUAAGUGCACAAGGGAGCUUGACUGUGAGACUGGCGGGUCGAGCAGGUGCGAAAGCAGGGACUAGUGAUCCGGCGGUGGCUUGUGGGAGCGCCGUCGCUCAUCGGAUAAAAGGUACCCCGGGGAUAACAGGCUGAUCUUCCCCAAGAGUCCGUAUCGACGGGAUGGUUUGGCACCUCGAUGUCGGCUCGUCGCAUCCUGGGGCUGGAGUUGGUCCCAAGGGUUGGGCUGUUCGCCCAUUAAAGCGGUACGCGAGCUGGGUUUAGAACGUCGUGAGACAGUUCGGUCCCUAUCCGCUGUGCGCGUUGGAGUCUUGAGAAGGGCUGUCCCUAGUACGAGAGGACCGGGACGGACGAACCUCUGGUGUGCCAGUUGUUCUGCCAAGGGCAUGGCUGGUUGGCUACGUUCGGGAGGGAUAACCGCUGAAAGCAUCUAAGCGGGAAGCUUGCUUCGAGAUGAGGACUCCCACCCACUUGAUGGGGUAAGGCUCCCUGUAGACGACGGGGUUGAUAGGCCGGAGAUGGAAGCCUUGUGAGAGGUGGAGUUGACCGGUACUAAUAGGCCGAGGGCUUGUCCAU
Molecule: ribosomal RNA, 1824 nt
Filed under: Streptomyces millisiae
Lineage: Bacteria; Bacillati; Actinomycetota; Actinomycetes; Kitasatosporales; Streptomycetaceae
Description: Streptomyces sp. DSM 44918 partial 23S ribosomal RNA
Rfam family: Bacterial large subunit ribosomal RNA
Source: RNAcentral